UGGGGAAUAUUGCACAAUGGGCGCAAGCCUGAUGCAGCCAUGCCGCGUGUAUGAAGAAGGCCUUCGGGUUGUAAAGUACUUUCAGCGGGGAGGAAGGGAGUAAAGUUAAUACCUUUGCUCAUUGACGUUACCCGCAGAAGAAGCACCGGCUAACUCCGUGCCAGCAGCCGCGGUAAUACGGAGGGUGCAAGCGUUAAUCGGAAUUACUGGGCGUAAAGCGCACGCAGGCGGUUUGUUAAGUCAGGUGUGAAAUCCUCGGGCUCAACCUGGGAACUGCCUCUGAAACUGGCAAGCUUGAGUCUCGUAGAGGGGGGUAGAAUUCCAGGUGUAGCGGUGAAAUGCGUAGAGAUCUGGAGGAAUACCGGUGGCGAAGGCGGCCCCCUGGACGAAGACUGACGCUCAGGUGCGAAAGCGUGGGGAGCAAACAGG
RNAcentral lists this ribosomal RNA (429 nucleotides) under Chloroflexota bacterium. Its description in RNAcentral is "Chloroflexi bacterium partial 16S ribosomal RNA". It matches the Rfam family "Bacterial small subunit ribosomal RNA", at positions 355 to 776 of the family's 1533-position model. The record is from RNAcentral. Lineage: Bacteria; Bacillati; Chloroflexota.